RNAcentral lists this ribosomal RNA (253 nucleotides) under uncultured prokaryote. Its description in RNAcentral is "partial 16S ribosomal RNA". It matches the Rfam family "Bacterial small subunit ribosomal RNA", at positions 524 to 776 of the family's 1533-position model. The record is from RNAcentral.
UACGUAGGGGGCAAGCGUUGUCCGGAAUCACUGGGCGUAAAGCGUGCGCAGGCGGUUCUGCAAGUCUGGGGGGAAAGGCCAUGGCUCAACCAUGGAGGUGCCUCGGAAACUGUAGGACUUGAGUGCUGGAGAGGCAAGGGGAAUUCCACGUGUAGCGGUGAAAUGCGUAGAUAUGUGGAGGAAUACCAGUGGCGAAGGCGCCUUGCUGGACAGUGACUGACGCUGAGGCACGAAAGCGUGGGGAGCAAACAGG